This 469-nucleotide ribosomal RNA is filed under the name uncultured Daeguia sp. RNAcentral's name for it is "bacterial SSU rRNA". It matches the Rfam family "Bacterial small subunit ribosomal RNA", at positions 8 to 523 of the family's 1533-position model. The record is from RNAcentral. Lineage: Bacteria; Pseudomonadati; Pseudomonadota; Alphaproteobacteria; Hyphomicrobiales; Brucellaceae.
AGAGUUUGAUCAUGGCUCAGAACGAACGCUGGCGGCAGGCCUAACACAUGCAAGUCGAGCGAAGUCUUCGGACUUAGCGGCGGACGGGUGAGUAACGCGUGGGAACGUACCCUUUGCUACGGAAUAGCCUCGGGAAACUGGGAGUAAUACCGUAUGUGCUCUUCGGAGGAAAGAUUUAUCGGCAAAGGAUCGGCCCGCGUUGGAUUAGCUAGUUGGUGGGGUAAAGGCCUACCAAGGCGACGAUCCAUAGCUGGUCUGAGAGGAUGAUCAGCCACAUUGGGACUGAGACACGGCCCAAACUCCUACGGGAGGCAGCAGUGGGGAAUAUUGGACAAUGGGCGCAAGCCUGAUCCAGCCAUGCCGCGUGAGUGAUGAAGGUCUUAGGAUUGUAAAGCUCUCUCACCGGUGAAGAUAAUGACGGUAACCGGAGAAGAAGCCCCGGCUAACUUCGUGCCAGCAGCCGCGGUAA